Molecule: long non-coding RNA, 476 nt
Filed under: Citrus maxima (pomelo)
Lineage: Eukaryota; Viridiplantae; Streptophyta; Magnoliopsida; Sapindales; Rutaceae
Description: long non-coding RNA (CMAX_LNC002983)
Source: RNAcentral
UUUUAUUCAACGGGGUUCCCACGAAAAUUCUUAUUAUCAACCCAAUUAUUUUCCUACGAAAAGGAGAAGAAAUCAUAGCUAUAGCGCAUAUAAGAUGAGCCUUGGCCUCUAAUGCUAGCCAUUAUAUAUAUACUAUAUAGUUCCCUUUUGUUCUUUAUUAAUUUUAUUAUGGGGCAAGUAUCUUCCAAUUUCUCAUCUUCCUCUGCAAGAGACGAUCAGCCCAUUGCACACGCUAAAACAAUAACGUUUUUUUUUUUUUUUUUUUUUGUGUACAUGUCCUUUUAUAUAUUAAUUUAUACAUAUAUGAAAAUCUCGACCCGAGAUUUUUUUUUUUUUUAAAUUUUAAUCUAUGACUUAAUGUUUUGUCUUAAAGCAGGUCUCGGUUUACAGGUAGAAGAAAGACUCAUCCUAUCCACCGUCACAAGCUGGAGCUGAAAAGCUACAAAAAACCCUACAAUUGCGAUGGCUGCAAGGAG